GUGCCAGCCGCCGCGGUAAGACGAACCGUGCGAACGUUGUUCGGAAUCACUGGGCUUAAAGGGCGCGUAGGCGGCCAGACCAGUCUGGGGUGAAAUCCAUCGGCUCAACCGGUGGACGGCCUGGGAUACUGUCUGGCUGGAGGGGGGUAGGGGCGACGGGAACGGCCAGUGGAGCGGUGAAAUGCGUUGAGAUUGGCAGGAACGCCGGUGGCGAAAGCGCGUCGCUGGACCCCACCUGACGCUGAGGCGCGAAAGCCAGGGGAGCAAACGGGAUUAGAAACCCGUGUAGUCC
This 292-nucleotide ribosomal RNA is filed under the name uncultured bacterium. Its description in RNAcentral is "partial 16S ribosomal RNA". It matches the Rfam family "Bacterial small subunit ribosomal RNA", at positions 505 to 796 of the family's 1533-position model. The record is from RNAcentral.